Molecule: ribosomal RNA, 529 nt
Filed under: Bacillus sp. SP61
Lineage: Bacteria; Bacillati; Bacillota; Bacilli; Caryophanales; Bacillaceae
Description: bacterial SSU rRNA
Rfam family: Bacterial small subunit ribosomal RNA
Source: RNAcentral
UAGAGUUUUGAUCAUGGGCUCAGGACGAACGCUGGCGGCGUGCCUAAUACAUGCAAGUCGAGCGGAUCUUCAUUAGCUUGCUUUUGAAGAUCAGCGGCGGACGGGUGAGUAACACGUGGGCAACCUGCCUGUAAGACUGGGAUAACUUCGGGAAACCGGAGCUAAUACCGGAUAAUCCUUUCCCUCACAUGAGGGAAAGCUGAAAGACGGCAUCUCGCUGUCACUUACAGAUGGGCCCGCGGCGCAUUAGCUAGUUGGUGAGGUAACGGCUCACCAAGGCAACGAUGCGUAGCCGACCUGAGAGGGUGAUCGGCCACACUGGGACUGAGACACGGCCCAGACUCCUACGGGAGGCAGCAGUAGGGAAUCUUCCGCAAUGGACGAAAGUCUGACGGAGCAACGCCGCGUGAACGAUGAAGGCUUUCGGGUCGUAAAGUUCUGUUGUCAGGGAAGAACAAGUCCCGGAGUAACUGCCGGUACCUUGACGGUACCUGACCAGAAAGCCACGGGUAACUACGUGCCAGCAGCC